This 3945-nucleotide ribosomal RNA is filed under the name Triticum aestivum (bread wheat). RNAcentral's name for it is "partial small subunit ribosomal RNA". Lineage: Eukaryota; Viridiplantae; Streptophyta; Magnoliopsida; Poales; Poaceae. The record is from RNAcentral.
CGCGAACGCCGACCCACGAGUCACUCCUCUGUCUUCUUCCCCCGCUCCUCUGUCUCACCCUUUUCCCCUCCCCCGACGGCCUUUAAUCGGCGAGGCAAGCAGAUCCCGGCGACUCCCGGCGAGGGUGGUGGCGCUAGAUGCGCGGUGGGAGGCCCCCGGUUGGCGGUAGAUGGCUGGCGAGGCGGGCAGUGGCGGGCGGAGGCCGCGGCGGUGGUGAACAGUAGUGGUCUAGUGGAUCCGGCUGACGGCGAGGGAAGGCACGGCGGAGGAGGAAGGCGCGCACGGCUGCUGUUGGGGGUUCGAGCUCCGCCGCCACCAGGCCCCCCGUAUGCUCCCACGGGACGGGCCUUGAUUCUGCUACUCGCCCCCGCCGCCACGACGGGCGUCGAGGCCGCCUCCAUUCGGUGCUCCUUGGCGACGACGAGCACCAGACCGGUCUUCGCGACGGCGAAUGGUGGCCAUGGUGAGCCUGCUGCUCGCUCCCUCCGCCGCGGCGGGCGUCGAGGCCGCCUCCAUUCGGGCGCUCCUCGGCGACGGCGCGUGGUGGCCAUGGUGAGCCUGCUGCUCGAGGCAGCUCGCGGGUUCGUCAGCUCCGGCGUGGAGGAUGACUAGAUGCUACUGUGGUGGUGAGCGCCCGCUCACCCCCUGGUCAACCUCCUGCGUCUGGGCGCCCUCCCGUGGGGGGAGGAGAUGGCCGCCGCGGCGUGCAGUCGCGGCCUGCUCCUGCACAACCACCAGCACCAGUGGAGGAGCCGCGGUGGGGAGGUGUUCAUCUACUCUUUUUCUUCGAUGGUACACCUGUACUGACGUCUGAUGAUUUUUUCUUGGAGUUAAUCUACCUGCUAGAAUGCUGAGUACCAUGAGCUUUUUGAACACGAUUUGCCAUGCUUGUGUAUGAAACAGUCCCUAAAAUUUGCUAUGCUACACUAAAAUCUGAGUAGCACACAUUUUCGCCGUGAUUUUUUAGUUACUGAAUUUAUCAUGUGAGCAGUACAGAAUUUUAGGAGUUUGGUCCUAUAAUACAUGGCAAUUUCUAAGCACAAUGUUUAGUAAAACAUCACAAUUUCUUAUAUUAUUACAAAUUCUCACACCAUGACAACUUUAUAAAUUGUUAGUUCAUUCACAUGACACUAUUUUUGAUAGUUUUUGUACUAACAUCAUGGCCCAUCUCAGAUUAUUGUUUCUAAUGGUUAUAUGGCAAAUGUAGGCUAUUUUUUAGAAACUAUGUGUCAUAUGGUCAUAGGGCAAUGAGGUGAUCAUUGCAUUUUAGUAACCAUCUGUCAUCAUUUCAUCAACGCGGUGAUUCACAAAUGACAACUUUAGUUGGUUUUUGCCAUGACAAGCUUAACAUGUGUUCGUGCGUCAUCUUUUUACAACGAUUUUUCCAUGAAAAGGAAAGUGGUUAACCAUGGCAAAUUUUGGUUCAUAGAUCAUGGAAAGUUUCAGUUUCUCAUUAAUUAACCAUGCCAACUUUUUUUUCAUUUGAUCUUGGUAAGUUUAAAAAUUGACCAUCGCAAGUUUAGUUUGUAGAUCAUGGCAAUUUUUAGUUUCAUGUAUUUGCAUGGCAACAUUUCUUUUGGCAAUAUGAUGGCAACUUUAAGUAAAUGACCAUGGCAAAUUAAGUUUACGAUUCAUGGCAAAUUUCAUUAAUUAAACAUGGCAAAAAAAAUCUUUAGUAAAUGACCAUAGCAAUUUUCAGUAAAUGAUGAUGUUUUAGUAAAUGACCAUGGCAAAUUAAGUUUACGAUUCAUGGCAAUUCUUUACUUCUCUUUUUUUUUCAUGACAAAUUUACUUUUAUUUGCCAAAACGAUGGCAAUUCUUAGGAAAUAACCAUGGCAAAUUUAGUUGAAGAAACAUGGCAAAUUUGGUUAAAGAAUAAUGGAAAAUUUAUUUUUCGUAGAUCAUGGUAGUUUUUAAUAUUUGACCAUGGCAACUUUAGUUCAUAGAUCAUGGCAAAUUUUUAAGUAUGGCAUUUUUUUUGUUUCUUUGUGCAACUUGUAAAAAUUACUUUUUAUGUGCGCAUGGAAAAUUUAUCUUUAUGCUCACGGCAAAUUUUUCUUUAUGCAGCACGACAAUUUUUAGUGUACAGACCAUGGCAUUUUUCCUGCUACCACGACAAAUUUUUUUUGAACAAUUUUCAAAAUGUAAUACAAACCAUGGCAAUUUAAUUUAUGUAGCACGGCAAUUUUCUUUUUCCAUUGGACCACGGCAAUUUCUUUGUUUUUGUAAAGCAUAAAAUUUUGCUAGUUACCAUCUACUCCCUCCGUUCGGAUUUAGUUGUCGCGACGGUGUAUUUGCGAAAACCCCCUCCAUCUAUUUCCGACCGAACCCGCGGUCCUCGCGCUUGCUCUCUUCUCCGGCUGGCCGCCGCGGUCCGCUCGGUGCUCUUCUCCGGCUCGCCGCUGCGCUGCCGCCGCGCUCUCCCCCCUCCCCCCACCUUCUAUAGCGUCGCCGCGCUCUCCUCCCCCACCUUCGGUGGCCUCGCCGCGCUCCUCUCCUCCUUCCCGCAGCGAACUUCGAAAAAGCUUGGACCUUUGAGUUCAAGCCGGCGACGGAUUCCGUCGAUGCGAGGCCGAAGGCGCCAGAUCCAGACCACCACCAACACGACGCCGGCAACUGGACGCCACGGGGACGCCGGCGAGCUGCUGUCGUCCACCACGACGCGACGGUGGCGAGUUGGCGCUGUCAGGGACGGACCUGCGGGCAGGAGGAGAGGAAGGCAGCACCCGUCACCGCCGCCAAGCUCCUGGCGCCGGUGGCCGCGAGCUUCAGGGGAUACCUCCUUCCCUGCAUCCUCCUCUGCCGAGGCAGCCGGCGAGGCGCCCCUGCUCUGUCAGCUGGUUCUGAGGCAUCAUCUUGUUGAGGACUCAUGUUGAGAUCAAUCCCAAACAUCAUUGCGGCGGUGGACCACUUGCUCAGAUGAAGGAAGCCUUUGAUCCGCCCGCCCCGGUGGCAGCAGCAACGCCAGAAGCAGAUAACGGCGCCUCCAUCUUCACGAGGAAAAACAUUUGGAGUGAUGCGGCUGCCGAGGGAGACGACGACAAUUCCUCGCCUUGGCCAUGGGACGGUGUGAAAAGUGAAGAGGAUGCUGAUUUUCUUUCUCAUGCAAACAGGGCUUUGUCGUUUCUGAGCAAGGAGCGGCAGCAAUUUCAGAUUCUUUGAGAAAAUUUCAGAGCAAGGAGCAGCAGCGGCAACCUGUAACUUCUUCAGAGAAGAACUCGAAGGCAGGGAAGCAGCAGCAGCUCGAGCUCCACCGGCUGCAGGGGAGAAGCAGAAGCACGAGCUCGACCGGCUGCAGAAGCAGAAGCAGAAGCACGAGCGCCGCCGUUUUUUGUUCACCGGAGGAGCUACCGUGACGAACUUCAGCGGCGGCAAGCAGCGACCGGAUUGGGAGGGGACGGCGGCGAUUCAGUUGAUUCGUGGCUUUCCGACAAGCGUGGCUCGAGGCGGGCGUAGCUCUCGGCGCGGCGGAGCUCGGACUGGCUCGGGGAGGACCGAGGUCGCCCGUCGGCGUCGAGCUCGUGGGGGGAAGCGGCGGUCGUGGUGGGAGGAGAUGGCCUCGAUUCCGUUGAUCCACGGCCGGAGGCAGCGGAGGAGCUUCAGGAGAUUUUUGGCAGGGGAUAAGGAUCGGGAUCAGGCCGGCGGGCGGAGCUCUACUGGCCUGUAGCCUCGCCGGCGGCCGAUUCUUCACGCGCGAGCCGUGCACGCCUGUCAUCGUCUAUUUUUGUACAAUUUGAAAAUGCGCAGGGGGUUUCUUGUAAAUGUUUCGUAGUUCAAAUUUAAGAACCCCCACGACAUCUAAAUCCGAACGGAGGGAGUAUCAUGGCAUUUCUCUUGUUCUUUAGGUAGUGUGUGGUAGUCUUAACAAUUACAGUAUAACAAUCGAUGGCAAUUUCUAGAAUUUUGAGGCAUUUUUAUUGUACAGUUUUUUCAGCUGGUUUUCCU